AUGGUACUCCCUCCGUCCGAAAAUACUUGUCAUUAAAAUGGAUAAAGAGGGAUGUAUCUACAACUAAAAUACGUCUAGAUGCAUGUCCUUUUAUUCAUUUUGAUGACAAGUAUUUCCGGACGGAGGGAGUAUGUG
Triticum aestivum (bread wheat) is the source of this 135-nucleotide non-coding RNA. The record is from Rfam. Lineage: Eukaryota; Viridiplantae; Streptophyta; Magnoliopsida; Poales; Poaceae.